UGCCUAAUACAUGCAAGUCGAGCGAACAGAUGAGAAGCUUGCUUCUCUGAUGUUAGCGGCGGACGGGUGAGUAACACGUGGGUAACCUACCUAUAAGACUGGGAUAACUCCGGGAAACCGGGGCUAAUACCGGAUAAUAUUUUGAACCGCAUGGUUCAAUAGUGAAAGACGGUUUCGGCUGUCACUUAUAGAUGGACCCGCGCCGUAUUAGCUAGUUGGUAAGGUAACGGCUUACCAAGGCGACGAUACGUAGCCGACCUGAGAGGGUGAUCGGCCACACUGGAACUGAGACACGGUCCAGACUCCUACGGGAGGCAGCAGUAGGGAAUCUUCCGCAAUGGGCGAAAGCCUGACGGAGCAACGCCGCGUGAGUGAUGAAGGUCUUCGGAUCGUAAAACUCUGUUGUUAGGGAAGAACAAAUUUGUUAGUAACUGAACAAGUCUUGACGGUACCUAACCAGAAAGCCACGGCUAACUACGUGCCAGCAGCCGCGGUAAUACGUAGGUGGCAAGCGUUAUCCGGAAUUAUUGGGCGUAAAGCGCGCGUAGGCGGUUUCUUAAGUCUGAUGUGAAAGCCCACGGCUCAACCGUGGAGGGUCAUUGGAAACUGGGAAACUUGAGUGCAGAAGAGGAGAGUGGAAUUCCAUGUGUAGCGGUGAAAUGCGCAGAGAUAUGGAGGAACACCAGUGGCGAAGGCGGCUCUCUGGUCUGUAACUGACGCUGAUGUGCGAAAGCGUGGGGAUCAAACAGGAUUAGAUACCCUGGUAGUCCACGCCGUAAACGAUGAGUGCUAAGUGUUAGGGGGUUUCCGCCCCUUAGUGCUGCAGCUAACGCAUUAAGCACUCCGCCUGGGGAGUACGACCGCAAGGUUGAAACUCAAAGGAAUUGACGGGGACCCGCACAAGCGGUGGAGCAUGUGGUUUAAUUCGAAGCAACGCGAAGAACCUUACCAAAUCUUGACAUCCUUUGACCGCUCUAGAGAUAGAGUCUUCCCCUUCGGGGGACAAAGUGACAGGUGGUGCAUGGUUGUCGUCAGCUCGUGUCGUGAGAUGUUGGGUUAAGUCCCGCAACGAGCGCAACCCUUAAGCUUAGUUGCCAUCAUUAAGUUGGGCACUCUAGGUUGACUGCCGGUGACAAACCGGAGGAAGGUGGGGAUGACGUCAAAUCAUCAUGCCCCUUAUGAUUUGGGCUACACACGUGCUACAAUGGAUAAUACAAAGGGCAGCGAAUCCGCGAGGCCAAGCAAAUCCCAUAAAAUUAUUCUCAGUUCGGAUUGUAGUCUGCAACUCGACUACAUGAAGCUGGAAUCGCUAGUAAUCGUAGAUCAGCAUGCUACGGUGAAUACGUUCCCGGGUCUUGUACACACCGCCCGUCACACCACGAGAGUUUGUAACACCCGAAGCCGGUGGAGUAACCUUUUAGGAGCUAGCCGUCGAAGGUGGACAAAAGGGG
RNAcentral lists this ribosomal RNA (1451 nucleotides) under Mammaliicoccus sciuri. RNAcentral describes it as "bacterial SSU rRNA". It matches the Rfam family "Bacterial small subunit ribosomal RNA". The record is from RNAcentral. Lineage: Bacteria; Bacillati; Bacillota; Bacilli; Caryophanales; Staphylococcaceae.